Molecule: transfer RNA, 74 nt
Filed under: Neorickettsia risticii (Potomac horse fever agent)
Lineage: Bacteria; Pseudomonadati; Pseudomonadota; Alphaproteobacteria; Rickettsiales; Anaplasmataceae
Also listed under: 1 other name
Description: tRNA-Arg
Rfam family: tRNA
About the family: Transfer RNA (tRNA) molecules are approximately 80 nucleotides in length. Their secondary structure includes four short double-helical elements and three loops (D, anti-codon, and T loops).
Source: RNAcentral
GCGCCCUUAGCUCAGCAGGAUAGAGCAACAGCCUUCUAAGCUGUGGGUCAGAGGUUCGACUCCUCUAGGGCGCA